UGAAUAUUCAUGAACCAUGAGUAUAUAUAAUACAUAAAACUGAUCCAGUAGUGUAGCGUUUACUACUCGAGAUAUCAAUAGCAUGGUUGAAAUAUGACAUGUGAUUAUAGAAACUCACGUUAAAAACAAUUGAGGUGGAUUAAUUGUCAAACUGCAUAACAUUCAAGUGAUCGGAAGCAUUGAUAAACAGAAUUCAAGGUGAUAUAUUACGGAACGCGCUGGGACAUUUAAAACAGCAUGAAGCAUUUAACAGUUCAUUCAUUUUUAUUAAUUUCUGUGAUUCUUCUAUCACACGAAUUGACCAAGAACUCGGUAUCGGCCAUUCCAGCGUUGAUGUUGUGCAAUGGAAAGUGUUUUAACGGGGGAACAAUUCUGAUGCCUACAUCUAUAUUUGGAUACUGUCACUGUUUAUGUCGGAAGGGUUUUGCGGGUCCUAGAUGUGAAAUAGCUCCAAAGAAUAUGAAAUUAAGAAUGAAUUUAAAACUUUUCUUGAAAAGAUUGAGAUCCAGGUGACCACGAAAACAGUAUUUAGGUUAACGAGAUGUUCCCGGUAUUUAAUUUUUCCAAAGAGGUCGAAUAGAGACGGCGAGACUUCCGCCUAGGAGUUUUGUUCCAUCCUUAGAAGAUACUGACUAUACUAGUAUAUUUAUUUAUUUAUUGACGUGUGAACUCCUACUUUACACCCUUUAUCCUGAAGAGUGUUGGGAUGUCUUCGCUAACGGGCGCAAGGUCUUUCAAUUCGAUCAAAAAGCCAGGACGCUUCUCCGAAGUGGACGGCGGAAACUUGGUUCCUCCAACUAUUCAUUUCGUGUGGAAACGGUUUGAAGAUUCGAAAAAUCUCCUCAGAAAUCCAGUGGGAGGAGAAAAGACACAUUAUCUAGUGGACUUAGGUUUCAGUUCGGCGUUGUUAAAAACAAUGCAGUAUUUACGGAUCGAUCUCAGUUAAACUCAAUUGUCAUUGUCUCAAUUCUACUUUAUUCUGAUGAGAUCAUUCCAUUUUUAAUUUAUUUAUUAAGUCCCUUGCCGGUUACAUUGUACACUACAUAAUGCAAAUACAUGUAUCAAAUUACAUAUGUAUCUCCUCUUUUUGCCGACUCGGCAUACAUUCAAUCAAUCUGUUUUUGGAAAUAUUUUUAAAGAUCAGAUGUAUAAAAUCAGGUUUUUUUUAUUUAAAAUAUAUAUCCGAAAGAACGUGAACAAAAUUAAUGUCCAGAUAUACAGAAAAAGAUUUCAGUUGUUCAUAUUGAUGUCACUGUGAGGAAAGAAUAAAAUAAUCAAAAUAAUGUGUAUCAGUUAUCAAGCGUUGUGACACUUGUAUAUACAACUGUACCUAAUGGUUUUUGUUCUUUCCAUAAUAAGACUUCUAGCACUGUCAACAUUGUAUUACAAUAUCAUAUUCAGAUGCGAAUAGGAUUUGAGGUUGCAAAUUGUACGACAUGUGCCAAUCUUGCAUUCCAAGCCGGCUGGGGCUGCAUUUUCAUAUUUCAAAUUGAAAUAACAUGUAUGUGUGCAUUCUAAAUGUGAUAACAUGAGAUUUGUUAUUUAUAUUGUUUUCAUCUAUUUAUUAUUAUUUAUGAAUUAAACUCAAAUGUUUGAAGUUAUUGAAAAAUGUUGUCUAUUGCAAACGAAAAAAAUACAUAAACAAUAAAAAAAUUAUUAUUUUG
Ostrea edulis (European flat oyster) is the source of this 1664-nucleotide long non-coding RNA. RefSeq lists it as uncharacterized. The transcript has 2 exons. Lineage: Eukaryota; Metazoa; Mollusca; Bivalvia; Ostreida; Ostreidae. The record is from RefSeq and is a predicted model, not a curated record.